This 395-nucleotide long non-coding RNA is filed under the name Homo sapiens (human). RNAcentral describes it as "HSALNT0057222". The record is from RNAcentral. Lineage: Eukaryota; Metazoa; Chordata; Mammalia; Primates; Hominidae.
UGUAGCAUGUUUCAUUAAACUAAUAACAGUCCCUUCAAUGAAACAAUGUGUUGUAAAACCUUUCCCAAUUUUUCUUUUGAGGCAUGGUGGUUAAGGGCUACAUAAGUAUUAACAUGUCUAAGUUCUUUUAAUUGCUGGGUUUAUAAAUCUGAACAGCUGUAAUGAAAUAAUCAGAAACAACCAGAUGGAAUUGGAGCCAGUCACCAUGGGUAUUUGAGAAGUGCAUACUGUUUGGGGAGACUGAAUAUGUACUGAUCCAAUCUAAAAUGGAGCAGAUGGCAAAGCAAACAGACAGUGUCUGGCUCUUUCACCCAGGCUGAAGUGCAGUGAUACCAUCACAGCUCACUGCAGCCUUGACCUCCUGAGCUCAAGUGGUCCUCCUGCCUCAGCCUCUU